This 75-nucleotide transfer RNA is filed under the name Cordylochernes scorpioides. RNAcentral's name for it is "tRNA-Thr". Lineage: Eukaryota; Metazoa; Arthropoda; Arachnida; Pseudoscorpiones; Chernetidae. The record is from RNAcentral.
UGUCAAGGGAUAGGAAUCGAACCCACGACCUUCCGCUUACCGGGCAGAUGCCAUGACCACUAGGCUACCCUGUAC